CCCUUAGAUGUUCUGGGCUGCACGCGCGCUACACUGAUGCGCUCAACGAGUUUUAACCUUGCCUGGAAAGGUUGGGUAAUCUUUUUAAAACGCAUCGUGAUGGGGAUAGAUUAUUGCAAUUAUUAAUCUUCAACGAGGAAUGCCUAGUAGGCGCAAGUCAUCAGCUUGCGUCGAUUACGCCCCUGCCCUUUGUACACACCGCCCGUCGCUCCUACCGAUUGGGUGUGCUGGUGAAAUGUUCGGAUCGGCCGUUUGUCGCGGUUUCCGCGUCAUGUGGCUGAGAAGUUCAUUAAACCCUCCCACCUAGAGGAAGGAGAAGUCGUAACA
Molecule: ribosomal RNA, 327 nt
Filed under: uncultured eukaryote
Lineage: Eukaryota
Description: partial 18S ribosomal RNA
Rfam family: Eukaryotic small subunit ribosomal RNA
Source: RNAcentral